UACGGAGGGUGCAAACGUUGCUCGGAAUCAUUGGGCGUAAAGCGCACGUAGGCGGAUCUUUAAGUCAGGGGUGAAAUCCCAAGGCUCAACCUUGGAACUGCCUUUGAUACUGGGGAUCUCGAGUCCGGAAGAGGUUGGUGGAACUGCGAGUGUAGAGGUGAAAUUCGUAGAUAUUCGCAAGAACACCAGUGGCGAAGGCGGCCAACUGGUCCGGUACUGACGCUGAGGUGGCGAAAGCGUGGGGAG
RNAcentral lists this ribosomal RNA (246 nucleotides) under uncultured bacterium. RNAcentral's name for it is "partial 16S ribosomal RNA". It matches the Rfam family "Bacterial small subunit ribosomal RNA", at positions 524 to 768 of the family's 1533-position model. The record is from RNAcentral.